CAGGGAGACAACAAAAUGUUUAAUAUUAUUAUUUUGUCACCUUAGGUCGAUCGGUAUCUCACAUUUUUAAUUUAUUAAGAAUUUCAUUUCCUAAGUUUUUCUAGGUCACACCCAUUAUUUUUCCUGGGCCAUUAGCUCAGGUGGUUAGAGCGCACCCCUGAUAAGGGUGAGGUCCCUGGUUCAAGUCCAGGAUGGCCCAUAUCUCUAUGUUGGGGGUAUAGCUCAGUUGGUAGAGCGCCUGCUUUGCAAGCAGGAUGUCAGCGGUUCGAGUCCGCUUACCUCCACUGAUUACCACCUCUUCCAUAACCGGUAGUAAAGGAAAUGUUUUGAGUUGUGAUCAAAUUCUGAAAGAAUCUAGCUUCCUAAUGAAAUCAUUAAGAUGCUGGACUCAUUGAAUUAAUUUCAUUGUUUUCAGAGAACCUUGACAACUGCAUAGAUUAUUUUUAAAGACAAUAAGCAUCUUUAAUGAUGCAGAUUUAUUAUUUGUGCGAAUGCAUUAAUAACAAUUCUAUUAAGCUGAUGCUUCAAUUUUUGAAGUUAUU
This 542-nucleotide transfer RNA is filed under the name uncultured Prochlorococcus sp. Its description in RNAcentral is "partial 16S-23S ribosomal RNA intergenic spacer". The stretch from base 212 to 284 matches the Rfam family "tRNA". The record is from RNAcentral. Lineage: Bacteria; Bacillati; Cyanobacteriota; Cyanophyceae; Synechococcales; Prochlorococcaceae.